UAGGGCGCGAGCGUUGUCCGGACUUAUUGGGCGUAAAGAGCUCGUAGGCGGCUUGUUGCGUCGACUGUGAAAACCCGCGGCUUAACUGCGGGCUUGCAGUUGAUACGGGCAGGCUAGAGUUCGGUAGGGGAGACUGGAAUUCCUGGUGUAGCGGUGAAAUGCGCAGAUAUCAGGAGGAACACCAGUAGCGAAGGCGGCUCGCUGGGCCAUUCCUGACGCUGAGGUGCAAAAGCGUGGGGAGCAAACAGG
RNAcentral lists this ribosomal RNA (249 nucleotides) under uncultured bacterium. RNAcentral's name for it is "partial 16S ribosomal RNA". It matches the Rfam family "Bacterial small subunit ribosomal RNA", at positions 528 to 776 of the family's 1533-position model. The record is from RNAcentral.